RNAcentral lists this small nucleolar RNA (135 nucleotides) under Capsella rubella. The record is from RNAcentral. Lineage: Eukaryota; Viridiplantae; Streptophyta; Magnoliopsida; Brassicales; Brassicaceae.
GUUAUGAAGUGGGCAUGAUGACGAGCUUGGUUUUGGAUUUUCAUGGGAAGGUCACAUGACAAUGAGAACCGUUUAAGCCGCCGUUAAAUAUGGAUGGGAAUACAAAUUUUCAUCCGUCAGUGCCUGAUGAGAAGU